UCGAACCUUAUUCCGAAAAGGAACAACUUGUGAACGCGUAAUCACACAUUCGGCGCGUGGGGACUUUAACUGGUCAUCACGCUCGCCCAGUCCGUAGGGUCAUGUGCAGUCAAAUGAGUGCACACUCAUUAGGUUGUGCGUGAUUCUCUCGGAAUUCACCAAACCCCGGCGCGGAAAGCGUCAAGGACCAUUCAACGAAACAGCUCACCUUGAAUGCUGCCUAUUUAGGUUCGUAUUCAGGUGUUGCUGCGAUCAUAAGUCUUAAACGACUCUCGGCAACGGAUAUCUCGGCUCUCGCAUCGAUGAAGAACGUAGCGAAAUGCGAUACUUGGUGUGAAUUGCAGAAUCCCGUGAACCAUCGAGUUUUUGAACGCAAGUUGCGCCCCAAGCCGUCAGGCUGAGGGCACGCUUGCCUGGGUGUCACGCAUCGUCAUCUCCCCCAUCUUCUCAAGCUUUGCUUGGGUGAUUUCGGAGAAGGAUAUUGGUCUCCCGUGUGUUACCGCACGCGGUUGGCCUAAAUUUGAGACUCGGGGGCGUGGAGCUACYUGACAAGCGGUGGUGUGUAGAUGCCUCGUGCAAAUGUCGGUUUCUUCGGUCCCAACUGAGUCUGCGACCCUUUUAGUGUUGCUUGCRCGAUUCUUCGAACCCGACCCCAGAUCAAGUGCA
RNAcentral lists this ribosomal RNA (666 nucleotides) under Tarenaya rosea. Its description in RNAcentral is "eukaryotic LSU rRNA". The stretch from base 268 to 423 matches the Rfam family "5.8S ribosomal RNA". Lineage: Eukaryota; Viridiplantae; Streptophyta; Magnoliopsida; Brassicales; Cleomaceae. The record is from RNAcentral.